AGAACGAACGCUGGCGGCAUGCCUAAUACAUGCAAGUCGAACGAACUCUUCGGAGUUAGUGGCGCACGGGUGCGUAACGCGUGGGAAUCUGCCCCUUGGUUCGGAAUAACAGUUGGAAACGACUGCUAAUACCGGAUGAUGACGGAAGUCCAAAGAUUUAUCGCCAAGGGAUGAGCCCGCGUAGGAUUAGCUAGUUGGUGAGGUAAAGGCUCACCAAGGCAACGAUCCUUAGCUGGUCUGAGAGGAUGAUCAGCCACACUGGGACUGAGACACGGCCCAGACUCCUACGGGAGGCAGCAGUAGGGAAUAUUGGACAAUGGGCGAAGGCCGGAUCCAGCAAUGCCGCGUGAGUGAUGAAGGCCUUAGGUUGUAAAGCUCUUUACCCGAGAUGAUAAUGACAGUAUCGGAGAAUAAGCCCGGCUAACUCCGCGCCAGCAGCCG
Molecule: ribosomal RNA, 441 nt
Filed under: uncultured soil bacterium
Lineage: Bacteria
Description: bacterial SSU rRNA
Rfam family: Bacterial small subunit ribosomal RNA
Source: RNAcentral